This 492-nucleotide ribosomal RNA is filed under the name Piona dispersa. Its description in RNAcentral is "eukaryotic LSU rRNA". It matches the Rfam family "Eukaryotic large subunit ribosomal RNA", at positions 303 to 629 of the family's 3401-position model. Lineage: Eukaryota; Metazoa; Arthropoda; Arachnida; Trombidiformes; Pionidae. The record is from RNAcentral.
GCUCCAUCUAAGGCUAAAUAUCACUGUGAGACCGAUAGCAAACAAGUACCGUGAGGGAAAGUUGCAAAGAACUUUGAAGAGAGAGUUCAAUAGGACGUGAAACCGCUUGCAGGGAAACAGAUGGACCCACGAAGUCCUGUUGUGUAGUUGUACUGUGUAAAAACAUCAGCUACACACGCCGGAGCUCUGACCUCUUGUUAAGGGUUGUUCGCUUUGUUAAGAGUAGAGAAUAAAUAGUUAGAUACUGUGCGUAUCAUCUAGUUAUUUGUCUCUUAGCGCGUCUAAUCUGUAUUGAGAGGGUGAACUGCGUACACNCNGUGUGUGUGUACGUUGCAGAUUGCUGAUGUGUGUUAAAAGAGGGAAUAGAGGAUAAGAGGUUAUUAGAGGAACGUUCAUACUUCUUCGGAGGGAGAAACUCUAGUGACAUGCUUGCUCGUAACUCUAACACAACCUUCCCUUUAAACACACUAGCUGUACAGUGAUCCAGAGUAA